Molecule: ribosomal RNA, 254 nt
Filed under: uncultured bacterium
Lineage: Bacteria
Description: partial 16S ribosomal RNA
Rfam family: Bacterial small subunit ribosomal RNA
Source: RNAcentral
UACGUAGGGGCAAGCGUUGUCCGGAUUUAUUGGGCGUAAAGAGCGUGUAGGCGGCUAGAUAGGUCCGUUGUGAAAACUCGAGGCUCAACCUCGAGACGUCGAUGGAAACCAUCUGGCUAGAGUCCGGAAGAGGAGAGUGGAAUUCCUGGAUGUAGCGGUGAAAUGCGCAGAUAUCAGGAGGAACACCGGUGGCGAAGGCGGGUCUCUGGGCGAGUAACUGACGCUGGAGGAGCGAAAGCGUGGGAUCAAACAGG